AUGCAGCUGGAAUUUCAGGUGUGUCACCCUGGAGCUGAGGCCUCCAGAUGGACUCGUAGAAGGGAGAUGUGUAAGGCUCCAUCCCUCAGCAGCCCACGAUCUCUGAAGGUUUGCCACUGUGGCCAAUGUUUUAUGGAAGCUUCUGAGGCCGUAGAGCAGAGGGAAGUUCUGAGCACACGGAGGACAAGCCAGGGUGGUGCUGUGUGGCCGCAAACAACCCUAAGUAGGGGAUACGUGUGGGGGACAGGCUCUAACACCUUGAUUCCUUAUGUCUGUGUCUCUGCAGUAUGUUUCAUGGAGAGUCUGAGUGACAGCAACCAUGAUGAAAGUGAUACAGACUCCUCUGGGACACCUUGAAGCCUCAGCCUGGGACUGGAAGAGUCCAAAAGUUUCCAUCUUGACCAGGAUACAAGAUUGACCUCACUCUUCAUCUAUUACGAGCCAACUUUAGUAUAAGCUUAGUUCUUUAUUGUCUAGAUUUAGUAUUAAGUUCUGAUACAUGUUUACUACUUGGUAUAUAAGAUUUUGGUAGAAUGUAAGAUUGUGUAUUAAAUAAUUGUUACCUAUCCAUUUGCUUUUUUUAAAACUAGUUUUCGAUAAAAUAAACACAGGUAUAGGAAAGCCCCUUAAGCA
RNAcentral lists this long non-coding RNA (633 nucleotides) under Sus scrofa (pig). RNAcentral describes it as "lncRNA (ENSSSCG00070007489.1)". Lineage: Eukaryota; Metazoa; Chordata; Mammalia; Artiodactyla; Suidae. The record is from RNAcentral.